This 70-nucleotide transfer RNA is filed under the name Sula sula rubripes. RNAcentral describes it as "tRNA-Pro". It matches the Rfam family "tRNA". Rfam says of the family: Transfer RNA (tRNA) molecules are approximately 80 nucleotides in length. Their secondary structure includes four short double-helical elements and three loops (D, anti-codon, and T loops). The record is from RNAcentral. Lineage: Eukaryota; Metazoa; Chordata; Aves; Suliformes; Sulidae.
CAGAGGAUAGUUCAAUGAAGAAUAUCAGCUUUGGGAGCUGGAGGUGAAGGUUUGAACCCUUUUUCUCUGA